CAGAGCUGGGCCCAUCUCGCAUACUUUCCGCUAGCAGCUCGAAGGAUUUAGGGCUGGAGGUGGACUAAUAGCAACAUUUUAAUGAGAAGAAAGAUGCAAAAGGACAUCUUCAUUUCACACGAAGGACUAGGCAUCUGCCUGGAAGUUUAGGGUCGCAGAGAGAGGCUGAAGCAGAGAAGGGGAAAGAAACGCACCUGUCUGAAUUGCCAGCCUACAGACCCAGGCUCCCUCUGCAAUCACUGCCACCUCCUUUGAAUUGUUACUCGCAUUGAGGUGAGGCCUGCUGAGUCACAGCCUGAGCCACUGAUUGAGCACCGGGGGAACAGACCUGGUCAGCACUGUGAGCACAGGUCUCAACAGGUCAGAUGUUCUCUGGACCUACGACCGAGUGAUAAAUCCCAACUUACAUCCUACUAGUUACAGCAGUGACCACCGAAACGGAGGAUCCCCAUCCCUGCUGCAGGUUAGAUCAUGGAGCAAGGCUAUUGCACAGCUCCUGUGCCCCUGAAGGAUGCAAUGAAUGACACAUCAUGCCCAGAAGGUUCUCAG
This 549-nucleotide long non-coding RNA is filed under the name Gallus gallus (chicken). RNAcentral describes it as "lncRNA (ENSGALG00010003071.1)". Lineage: Eukaryota; Metazoa; Chordata; Aves; Galliformes; Phasianidae. The record is from RNAcentral.